Molecule: ribosomal RNA, 303 nt
Filed under: uncultured bacterium
Lineage: Bacteria
Description: partial 16S ribosomal RNA
Rfam family: Bacterial small subunit ribosomal RNA
Source: RNAcentral
AGCAGUAGCCGCGGUAAUACGUAGGGUGCGAGCGUUAAUCGGAAUUACUGGACGUAAAGCGUGCGCAGGCGGUUAUAUAAGACAGAUGUAAAAUCCCCGGGCUCAACCUGGGACCUGCAUUUGUGACUGUAUAGCUAGAGUACGGUAGAGGGGGAUGGAAUUCCGCGUGUAGCAGUGAAAUGCGUAGAUAUGCGGAGGAACACCGAUGGCGAAGGCAAUCCCCUGGACCUGUACUGACGCUCAUGCACGAAAGCGUGGGGAGCAAACAGGAUUAGAUACCCCAGUAGUCCCUGUCUCUUAUAC